CCUACGGGAGGCAGCAGUGAGGAAUAUUGGUCAAUGGGCGUAAGCCUGAACCAGCCAAGUCGCGUGAGGGAUGAAGGUUCUAUGGAUCGUAAACCUCUUUUAUAAGGGAAUAAAGUGUGGGACGUGUCCUGUUUUGUAUGUACCUUAUGAAUAAGGAUCGGCUAACUCCGUGCCAGCAGCCGCGGUAAUACGGAGGAUCCGAGCGUUAUCCGGAGUUAUUGGGUUUAAAGGGUGAGUAGGCGGCAUGUUAAGUCAGCGGUGAAAGCCUGUGGCUCAACCAUAGAAUUGCCGGUGAAACUGGGAGGCUUGAGUAUGUGUGAGGCAGGCGGAAUGCGUGGUGUAGCGGUGAAAUGCGUAGAUAUCACGCAGAACCCCGAUUGCGAAGGCAGCCUGCCAAGCCAUGACUGACGCUGAUGCACGAAAGCGUGGGGAUCAAACAGGAUUAGAUACCCUGGUAGUC
This 460-nucleotide ribosomal RNA is filed under the name uncultured bacterium. RNAcentral describes it as "partial 16S ribosomal RNA". It matches the Rfam family "Bacterial small subunit ribosomal RNA", at positions 338 to 795 of the family's 1533-position model. The record is from RNAcentral.